GGUGACGAGCGGCGGACGGGUGAGUAAUGUCGUAGAACUGCUGAUGGAGGGGAUACUACUGAAACGGUAGCUAAUACGCAUAACGUCGCAAGACAAGAGGGGGACUUCGGGCCUCCUGCCAUCAGAUGUGCCCAGAUGGGAUUAGCUAGUAGUGGGGUAACGGCUCACCUAGCGACGAUCCCUACUGGUCUGAAGGAUGACCAGCCACACUGGAACUGAGACACGGUCCAGACUCCUACGGCAGGCAGCAGUGGGGAAUAUUGCACAAUGGGGGAAACCCUGAUGCAGCCAUGCCGCGUGUGUGAAGAAGGCCUUCGGGUUGUAAAGCACUUUCAGCGAGGAGGAAAGGUCAGUAGCUAAUAUCUGCUGACUGUGACGUUACUCGCAAAAAAGCACCGGCUAACUCCGUGCCACAGCCGCGGUAAUACGGAGGGGUGCAAGCCGUUAAUCGGAAUUUACUGGGGGCGUAAAAGCGCACGGCAGGGCGGGGUUUGGGGAUAAAGUUAAGAAUUGGUGGAAAAGGCCCCCGGGGGGCUUCCAAACCCUGGGGGAAAUUUGGCCAUUUUUAAAAACUUGGUCCCAAGCUUAAGAAGGUUCCUU
Molecule: ribosomal RNA, 600 nt
Filed under: uncultured bacterium
Lineage: Bacteria
Description: bacterial SSU rRNA
Rfam family: Bacterial small subunit ribosomal RNA (bases 1-442)
Source: RNAcentral